This 519-nucleotide long non-coding RNA is filed under the name Numida meleagris (helmeted guineafowl). RNAcentral's name for it is "lncRNA (ENSNMEG00000002672.1)". Lineage: Eukaryota; Metazoa; Chordata; Aves; Galliformes; Numididae. The record is from RNAcentral.
CCGGUGUUGCUGUCACCCCAAUCCCAGUCCAGGUGUUGUUCCCAGUCCAGGUGUUCCUCCCAGUCCAGGUGUUCCUCCCAGUCCCGGUGUUGCUCCCAGUCCCGGUGUUCCUCCCAGUCCCGGUGUCGCUCCCGGUCCCGGUGUUGCUCCCGGUCCCGGUGUUCCUCCCGGUCCCGGUGUUGCUCCCGGUCCUGGUGUUGCUCCCAGUCCCGGUGUCGCUCCCGGUCCCAGUGUUGCUCCCGGUCCCGGUGUCGCUCCCGGUCCCGGUGUUGCUCCCGGUCCUGGUGUUGCUCCCAGUCCCGGUGUCGCUCCCGGUCCCGGUGUUGCUCCCGGUCCCGGUGUCGCUCCCGGUCCCGGUGUUGCUCCCGGUCCCGGUGUUGCUCCCGGUCCCGGUGUUGCUCCCGGUCCCGGUGUUGUUGCUCCCGGGAAGCGGCGGCGGCGCAGCCCCCGCAAUGGAGGCGCCGGCGCUGACCCAGGAAGUGCAGCCUUCGUCCCCCCCCCCUCCUCCUCCUCUUCCUC